Platichthys flesus (European flounder) is the source of this 388-nucleotide long non-coding RNA. RefSeq lists it as uncharacterized. The transcript is spliced from 3 exons. Lineage: Eukaryota; Metazoa; Chordata; Actinopteri; Pleuronectiformes; Pleuronectidae. The record is from RefSeq and is a predicted model, not a curated record.
AAAGAGACAGACAGGUUGUCAGACAGACAGGUGGUCUCACAGACAAAGACACAGACAGGUGGUCUUACAGACAAAGAGACAGACAGGUGGUCAGACAGGUGGUCAGACAGACAGGUGGUCUCACAGACAAAGACACAGACAGGUGGUCUUACAGACAAAGAGACAGACAGGUUGUCAGACAGACAGGUGGUCUCACAGACAAAGACACAGACAGGUGGUCUCACAGAAAAAGAGACAGACAGGUGGUCAGACAGGUGGUCAGACAGACAGGUGGUCUCACAGACAAAGAGACAGACAGGUGGUCUUACAGACAAAGAGACAGACAGGUGGUCAGACAGACAGGUGGUCUCACAGAAAAAGAAACAGACAGGUGGUCAGACAGACAGGU